Molecule: ribosomal RNA, 253 nt
Filed under: uncultured bacterium
Lineage: Bacteria
Description: partial 16S ribosomal RNA
Rfam family: Bacterial small subunit ribosomal RNA
Source: RNAcentral
UACAGAGGGGGCAAGCGUUGUUCGGAAUUACUGGGCGUAAAGGGCGCGUAGGCGGCCUUCUAAGUCGAACGUGAAAUCCCCGGGCUCAACCCGGGAACUGCGUCCGAUACUGGAAGGCUUGAAUCCGGGAGAGGGAUGCGGAAUUCCAGGUGUAGCGGUGAAAUGCGUAGAUAUCGUGAGGAACACCAGAGGCGAAGGCGGCUACCUGGACAAUUGCUGACGCUCAGGCACGAAAGCGUGGGGAGCAAAAGGG